AUACAGAGGGUGCAAGCGUUAAUCGGAAUUACUGGGCGUAAAGGGCGCGUAGGUGGUUAAUUAAGUCAGAUGUGAAAUCCCCGGGCUUAACCUGGGAAUUGCAUUUGAAACUGAUUGGCUAGAGUACGGGAGAGGGAAGUGGAAUUUCCGGUGUAGCGGUGAAAUGCGUAGAUAUCGGAAGGAACACCAGUGGCGAAGGCGACUUCCUGGCCCGUUACUGACACUGAGGCGCGAAAGCGUGGGGAGC
RNAcentral lists this ribosomal RNA (247 nucleotides) under uncultured bacterium. RNAcentral's name for it is "partial 16S ribosomal RNA". It matches the Rfam family "Bacterial small subunit ribosomal RNA", at positions 523 to 769 of the family's 1533-position model. The record is from RNAcentral.